Lotus japonicus is the source of this 1227-nucleotide RNA transcript. It is a transcript of the gene named histone-lysine N-methyltransferase ATXR4, with no coding region annotated. The record is from RefSeq and is a predicted model, not a curated record. NCBI's taxonomy places the organism in Eukaryota, Viridiplantae, Streptophyta, Magnoliopsida, Fabales, Fabaceae. The transcript has 8 exons.
UCAUAUGUGGGAACUGGCCAUUUCACGCUUGAGAAGAAGAAAAAUAAGAAGAUGGCAGUGACACGCUCACUCCCACUCCGCUUGGCCAUUUCACACUUCACUAAACCAUUUCACCACUUCUCCUUCUCUACCUCCACCACCGCACCGCCACAACACCCUCCUCCCAUCCGAGUCGCUCUCACUGACUCAGUCGGCCGCGCCGUCUUCGCAACUCGCCCGAUCCCUUCCGGUGAUCUCAUCCACACCGCCCAACCCGCCGUCUGCCACCCUUCUCCCUCCGCCGUCCACUCCGUCUGCUAUUCCUGCCUCGCCUCUCUGUCCUCAUCAAUACCCCAAUGCACCCCGUUUUGCAGCCACCAUUGCCACCAACGCUCUAAGGACUAUUACGAUGUUGAGAUGAAAGCGAAUUGGAUGGACUUUGAUAACUAUUGCCGGACCCGUGGUUUGAAAUAUCCAUUUAUGGUAAAGAGGUUGGCUUGUAUGGUCGUAUCAGGAGUUUCCAAAAGUGACAGUCUUGACAUACUUCAGCCUGCCAAUUUGACACCUGAGAUGAUUUUAGAGAUGGAGGAGGAGUUUUCCUUGCUAAGGAGUGCCUUCACGAAGGCACUUAUUGCGGAUGAACAUAUUGCUUUUUUGACCAAGCAAUGGUACAUUAAUGUUUUGGCCCGAAUUCGAAUCAAUGCAUUUCGCAUUGAAUUGGCUGGUGGACUAUAUGAAGAUCUCCUUGCAUCAGCAGUUGCAUCUGUAGAAGCUGAAGCUGCUGUUGGAAAUGCUGUCUAUAUGCUUCCUUCCUUCUAUAAUCAUGAUUGUGAUCCUAAUGCACAUAUUAUAUGGAUAGACAAUGCAGAUGCAAAAUUGAAGGCCCUCCGUGACAUUGAUGAAGGUGAAGAACUCAGAAUCUGCUAUAUCGAUGCCAGCCUGGACCGUGAUGCUAGGCGAGAACUAUUAUUUCGAGGUUUUGGCUUUCAAUGCAAUUGUAGUAGGUGCUUGCAUGGCGAUUAGCUGUGAUUCUCUAAAGAUAUUCUCCUAGGUUUUGCAAUAUAAACUGGUUGUAACAAUGAACUGCGUAGGAAACAUUAACAAAGGGAUGAAGUCUGGAACGAAUACUAUGAAUUCACAAUCCCGAGUAAUGGAUUUUAAUUUGUCAUUGUCAAUACUCAAUAGAGUAUACAUGCACUCAGUGACUGCAGAGGAGUUAUAGUGAAGGGGUUCAAGUUUUGAUUUUCA